GCCUGGGUGGCUCAGUGGGUUAAGCGUCUGACUCUUGAUCUUGGCUCAGGCCGUGAUCUCAAAGUUCGUGGGUUUGAGCCCCACAUCAGGCA
RNAcentral lists this transfer RNA (92 nucleotides) under Felis catus (domestic cat). It matches the Rfam family "tRNA". Rfam says of the family: Transfer RNA (tRNA) molecules are approximately 80 nucleotides in length. Lineage: Eukaryota; Metazoa; Chordata; Mammalia; Carnivora; Felidae. The record is from Rfam by way of RNAcentral.